Molecule: ribosomal RNA, 283 nt
Filed under: uncultured bacterium
Lineage: Bacteria
Description: partial 16S ribosomal RNA
Rfam family: Bacterial small subunit ribosomal RNA
Source: RNAcentral
ACUCCUACGGGAGGCAGCAGUGGGAAUAUUGCACAAUGGGAAAGCCAUCGAUGCAGCCAUGCCGCGCUGUGUGAAGAAGGCCAAUUCGGGCUUGGUAAAGACNCAUUUCAGCGAGGAGGAAAGGUGUGUGCUAAUACCAUACAUCUGUGACGUUACUCGCAGAAGAAGCACCGGCUAACUCCGUGCCAGCAGCCGCGGUAAUACGGAGGGUGCGAGCGUUAAUCGGAAUUACUGGGCGUAAAGCGUGCGCAGGCGGUUUGUUAAGCGAGAUGUGAAAGCCCGC